CCUACGGGAGGCUGCAGUGGGGAAUAUUGGACAAUGGGCGAAGGCCUGAUCCAGCCAUGCCGCGUGUGUGAAGAAGGCCUUCGGGUUGUAAAGCACUUUCAGUGGGGAAGAAAGCCUUGGGGCUAAUACCCUCGAGGAAGGACAUCACCCACAGAAGAAGCACCGGCUAACUCCGUGCCAGCAGCCGCGGUAAUACGGAGGGUGCGAGCGUUAAUCGGAAUUACUGGGCGUAAAGCGCGCGUAGGCGGUCUGAUAAGCAGGUUGUGAAAGCCCCGGGCUCAACCUGGGAACGGCAUCCGGAACUGUCAGGCUAGAGUGCAGGAGAGGAAGGUAGAAUUCCCGGUGUAGCGGUGAAAUGCGUAGAGAUCGGGAGGAAUACCAGUGGCGAAGGCGGCCUUCUGGACUGACACUGACGCUGAGGUGCGAAAGCGUGGGUAGCAAACAGGAUUAGAUACCCUGGUAGUC
Molecule: ribosomal RNA, 465 nt
Filed under: Vreelandella stevensii
Lineage: Bacteria; Pseudomonadati; Pseudomonadota; Gammaproteobacteria; Oceanospirillales; Halomonadaceae
Description: partial 16S ribosomal RNA
Rfam family: Bacterial small subunit ribosomal RNA
Source: RNAcentral